AGUGAGCGCUGGCGGUAGGCCUAACACAUGCAAGUCGAACGGCAGCACAGUAAGAGCUUGCUCUUACGGGUGGCGAGUGGCGGGCGGGUGAGGAAUACAUCGGAAUCUACUUUUUCGUGGGGGAUAACGUAGGGAAACUUACGCUAAUACCGCAUACGACCUACGGGUGAAAGCAGGGGAUCUUCGGACCUUGCGCGAUUGAAUGAGCCGAUGUCGGAUUAGCUAGUUGGCGGGGUAAAGGCCCACCAAGGCGACGAUCCGUAGCUGGUCUGAGAGGAUGAUCAGCCACACUGGAACUGAGACACGGUCCAGACUCCUACGGGAGGCAGCAGUGGGGAAUAUUGGACAAUGGGCGCAAGCCUGAUCCAGCCAUACCGCGUGGGUGAAGAAGGCCUUCGGGUUGUAAAGCCCUUUUGUUGGGAAAGAAAAGCAGCAGGUUAAUACCCCGCUGUUCUGACGGUACCCAAAGAAUAAGCACCGGCUAACUUCGUG
Molecule: ribosomal RNA, 492 nt
Filed under: uncultured bacterium
Lineage: Bacteria
Description: partial 16S ribosomal RNA
Rfam family: Bacterial small subunit ribosomal RNA
Source: RNAcentral